This 293-nucleotide long non-coding RNA is filed under the name Zonotrichia albicollis (white-throated sparrow). RNAcentral's name for it is "lncRNA (ENSZALG00000013501.1)". The record is from RNAcentral. Lineage: Eukaryota; Metazoa; Chordata; Aves; Passeriformes; Passerellidae.
AUGCUACAAUCUAGGUGCUUGUACAGGUCCAGUCUCAAGCAUAGAAGAUCUGCACAUUGGAGAAGAGAACGACAGCUCAUGGUUUCAACUGAGAGAGACAGAAGCCAAUCUUCUAGCAACAUCCUAAGAAACAUUGUUAUGAACUUCAGAGCAGGAACUCUCUUGACCAGACCAGAAAUUUUGUCUCCAAGGUCAUCCCAGACCCAUAGCUGUUUUCAAGCUAGCCAGCCUACUCAAGAGUCUUUUGGGAGCCCUAGGAAGAUUCUUUGAGUUGAAAUAGGACUUUUACUUCA